UACGGAGGGGGUUAGCGUUGUUCGGAAUUACUGGGCGUAAAGCGCGCGUAGGCGGACUAGUUAAGUCAGGGGUGAAAUCCCGGGGGCUCAACCCCGGAACUGCCUUUGAUACUGGUAGUCUUGAGUUCGAGAGAGGUGAGUGGAACUCCGGAGUGAUAGAGGUGAAAUUCGUAGAUAUUCGGAAGAACACCAGUGGGCGAAAGGCGGCUCACUGGCUCGAUACUGACGCUGAGGUGCGAAAGUGUGGGGAGCAAACAGGAUUAGAUACCCGCGUAGUCC
This 279-nucleotide ribosomal RNA is filed under the name uncultured bacterium. RNAcentral describes it as "partial 16S ribosomal RNA". It matches the Rfam family "Bacterial small subunit ribosomal RNA", at positions 524 to 796 of the family's 1533-position model. The record is from RNAcentral.